Molecule: long non-coding RNA, 4018 nt
Organism: Magallana angulata
Lineage: Eukaryota; Metazoa; Mollusca; Bivalvia; Ostreida; Ostreidae
Exons: 6
Source: RefSeq, a predicted model, not a curated record
AUGUAAAAAUGCAGUCAAGGAAAAAAAUAAUUCUGAAGUAUAUAUGGAACUACAAUUGACGAAGUUUCAGUAGGCCUGUUUGGAGCUAGAUAUUUUGAGAAAAUGCAGUAUCGCUUGCCCUUUUUAUGGUGUUAGCUGAUGAGAUAGAUGCUGUAAAAGUGUGCAGAUCAGUUGUCGCAGUCGUAUAUGGUGCCCCCAGACUUUGUCGUAAGAGUACGCAGCGACUAGUUUUUCAUCGAAUGACCAAUAUUAAGGUUUACGGGCAAGUUACAGAAUUAGGCGACAAGUGCGAAACAAUGCGAAGAAGAACAUGAACACUCUAACGAAGGAUUAUUUUGACAAAAACUUUAAUUUUUUUGAUUUUUGCUCACCUUAUGUGAGAUUUCAUUUCAUUUCCUACAUAGUCAUGAUUCAAGGAAUGAGAGGAUUUGGACAAAUAUGUGCUAUGUGUAUGUCUAUUUUACAUUGAAUUAUCCAUUUGUAAUAAUUUAAGGCAAAAACAUGCUUUAACACCAUUUACAAGAUCACACAGAUGCAUAUUUUGUGUAGAAAAGAGGUUUCAUGCAUUUAGUUGAGAAGGUCAUUAUGAGUCAAGUGUAUAUACUAUCAUCAUGAUUGAAUCUAGGAGCUUUUCAUGGUUUUCAUCCUUAAAAACUGAUGAAUUUCAGUUUACCAGAAAAUGUUUUUAUGCAUUAUAGCCAAAAAAUCAGUUUCUUCCCACAUUUUGAGGGGAGUUCCUUAUUUACAAAAUACAAAUACUUAUAUUUAUGUUUGAAUGACCUAAGAUAUUGAAACAUUAGUCAUUGUUAAAAUGUUUAGAAGGAGAUAUUACUAUUUUUUAUAUGGUAACCUCAGCACACCUGUCCUUUUCUUAGUAAUGAAAGUCAAAAUUUGAAUGAAAUCAUUUCAUGUAACAUGUAUGGGUACAAUAUAGAUGCCCCACCCAUAUCCACAACUAUGGGGGUUGGUAUGAUUCUUUUUUUAGUAUUGUGAUAUGGCAUGCACUUAUGUGAUUUCUCUUGUAAAUAUGCAUAAGAAAUGCAUUGCCUUAUUGAAUUACUCCAUGUAUAUGCUUAUUGCUCUUGCUGUAAAUUAUCUAACAUGUGUCAAUCAUCAUUGAUCAGUAAUUCUCUUCAAAUUCUAUAGGGAUGGCCUGAUGAGGGGUAUAAUUAAGUGUGUCCAAUUGAAAUUUCAUGGCUACUUUUGCUCUACAGAUAGAAUGUUACAUAAAUCACAGAAUGAAGUUGCAUCCCAGUUGUUUCUUUUACAUUUCUUAUCAUCAAAGCAAGAUUUAUGGUUGUCAGAGCAGAUCUGAGCUCCAUUACAUGCUGAUAUCAUUUUGGCUGUCCUGUGUUACAAUGCUGCUUUUAGAUAAAAGUGAGUAUGGCAGUGUGUGGACAAGUAAACAGGCUUUACCUGAUAUAUAAAUUUACCAGAUACAGAUUUCAUUUUUGACCUGAUAAUUCACAAUACAGUUAUGAAAUGUGUGAACAAUAGGGGUAAAUUUCUUCUUUGUUAUGCAAUGAUUGCAUAAUGAAGUGACUCUAAUGGAGUAUUUUGAUUUUGAUUUAAAGAAAAAUAUAUAUGCUCUGAUUUGGUACCAAGGUGAUUUUGUAUCUUGUUGUUUUAAGGAUAAAAAUUGGCUUCAGGUCAUGCAUGGUGUGAGGCUCCAAAUGUGUUUCAUCUGUGCUAUUUUCUUCAGUCUGAGCAAGGGAGAUAAAUCCUCAAUAGCUAAAGAAAUAUUGGGAGCCUGGGGACAGGGUUUUGGGGAUUUGGUGACAGUUGAUUGGGAAUUCUCAGGUGCAAAUUUGAAAGGGAUCUGACAUCUUUAGAGUCUCUUCAAGGUAUCACACCGGUAAUCGGCCAAUCAAAAUGAACUUCGUCAAUUGUAGUUCCAUAUAUACUUCAGAAUUAUUUUUUUCCUUGACUGCAUUUUUACAUUUUCCUUUACUCAGUUUUAAAAUUUUUUGUACCACUGAGUAGGAUAUUUCAUGUACUUUGUUAGGUGAUGAUCUUUUUUCACAGGGACUACUUCUUUCAGGGCACAUGCAGCAGCUUCCUGGGGAGUGUGCAGUCUGUUUACAUACAAAUGGAAAACACGUGGUUUUGAGGGGAGGAAUUGGAAGGCAAAUCCUGUUGAAGCACACCCAGAUGUUCCACAGAUCCUGCAAAACAGUGAAGAUCUGUUGCAGCACAUAAUUACCGUAUAUACUUGUUCUACAGAUUCAACAGGUCAUAAAGGACCGUGUUGCAGAAUAUGUUCAACAGCCUUGCAUAGAGAGCAGUUUGGAAGCGGUUCCUUUUGCAGCACAUGUACAAGAUCUACAGAUUCCAAAGACUAAGGGUAAUACACACUGAAUAGUAGAUAGAAGCUUGUAAUGGUAGUAGCAUCAGCAUUGUCUGGAAGGAACAGUGAAGAUUCUAUUGAAGAACACAAGGAUUAUGUCCCAAGUGGUAUAGAAUCAGUGGAUAAACCAUCAUGCACCACAUUACCAUCAAAGAAAAAAUGGACAAUGGAAUAGGACAUUUGAAUGUUAUAUGGACUUUAAAGAUUAAAGUGUACCAAGAGAGGCAGAAGCACUGAAAGUAAAAAACAAAUGCAAAUUUCUUGCUGAUAGAAGUAUUCAUCAGAAAAAGAGUAAAAUGCAACAUAUGCUGAGACUUAAAUGAGUUAACAAAUUUAGGACAUUUGGUCUUGCAGUAACAAAUGAUUCUGUGAUAAACCCUUUAAAUUUAAACAGUAAUUGGAAGAUUAUCUCCUCAUGAAAUACCCUGGACUUAUUUAUAAACAAGAGUCGUCUGUAUGCUUCAUGUUUUAGAUUGAAGAUUGAAUGUGUAUGUGUUAUAUCUGUAUUACUCUCUCUGCUUCCCAUCUGCAACAUGUGUACCUGUGGUGUAACCUCAUGGUUAGUUUUUAUUCGUUUUAAAAUCUUAAUAUCAGCAAUAAGAUGUUGUAAUUUCUUAUGUGUUACUUUUAUGUUUAAGGUUAAGUGAACAUGAUUGAAAUAUGUAUUGCAUAUAUUGUAAAAGUAUAUUACAAUGUAAUUUAGAAUACGGUACUUAUAGUUUUUAAAAAAGGACAAUCAUAUUAAUAUCUAAUAUUUACAUGUAGUGUAUAUUUCCCCUUAUGUUUGCAGAGGACAUCUGUGACGUUCAAUUUCUCACCUCUGAGUUUUAGCUCUGCUGGCCAUAGACCAGAAGAGUGUAUGCGAUGAUCUGUUUGUGUAGCUUUCUGUUUGUCUCUCUGUGAACAAUUUUCAAAUGCUACUACUAUUACAGCUAUCAAGAAUGUUCACAUAUAUAUACAUGUCUUGUGUUUGAAAUCAUGCAUGACACAUUUUUCUAACUUUGAGAAAUAAAAUAUAUAAUCUUUAACUGACAAAAGUGUUCCCUUAUUAAUGUUGUUUUACCUCUGCAAAUAAAGGUAUCAUGGUAUAAAGGAUUUACCUUGUCUGUCUGUUAAUCUGUGUGUCUACAUUACAAGUGUUGAGGAUGGAUUCCUAUGCCAUAGCAAUAUUUUUGGUGGGGGUUAUGCAUUUGCUGCAGCCUUUAUUUGACACAGAGAUGGUCAUGGUCAUGUAGGGAUUCGUCAUGACCUAGACGUGGUAGUACAUGGACAAGGUGACAAGGAAAAUAAUGAUUUGGGGUAUUACCCUAAUACAAAGUCACAAGGAAAAGCGUAUAGGACAUUUUGAUGUGUCCUAAGCUAUAACCGAGAUAAGUUGUUCACACCUUAAUUUUUACAAGUAGUUUCAAACCAAUGGCAUUUGACACUUUAGGCGUCAAUUAUUUUAGUGAAGAGGUUUUCUGGUCUGUUACCAUAUUCUCUUUGAAGAUAAUUGUAGAAACCAAACUUAGAAAAACAAUGUAUUUGAAGAUAUUUUUUUUUAUCUUUGACACCGGUUAAGGACAAUGUUUUGAUCUAUGUUCAUCUUAUCAAAAGGGGUACACAGACCAAACUUCUUCCUGAGAUGCAUUAACAUAUACUAGUAUAUGAUCAUUUCAAAGCAUGCUAUCU